GAAGGAAACUGGUCACUUCCAGGCACCGGAAAGGGAAGGGGCCAACAGAAAUGCUCCCCCAGCAUUGUGCUACCUAGUGGAGUUUUUCCCUUCCUUUUUAGUCAGGGAUCCUAGGGUACUUCGACAGACGACUAUUUUAAAUGGAUAAGGAAAUGAGGUUUAAAAUCUGGAAAGCGGGGUGCCUGGGUGGCUUGGUUGGUUAAGUGUCCGACUUCGGCUCAGGUCAUGAUCUCACGGUCCGUGAGUUCGAGCCCCGCGUCGGGCUCUGUGCUGACAGCUCAGAGCCUGGAACCUGUUUCAGAUUCUGUGUCUUCCUCUCUCUCUCUGCCCCUCCCCUGUUCAUGCUCUGUCUCUCUCUGUCUCAAAAAUAAAUAAACGUUAAAAAAAAAUUAAAAAAAAUAAAAUAAAAUCUGGAAAGCUUAGCUGGAGGUAGGUGGAAAAAGAAUGGCUUCUGGAUGGAAAAAAGGACAAAAGGUGGGCGUUUAAUCAAGACCUGACAAUAUACUCCCCACCCCAACAUGCAUUAAAAUUCUCAUGACUUAAGGAAUGAGAACAAAGAGCAGAUUAUUAUAUAAACUAGUUGGGAUCUUCACCUGACCUUUAAGUUCCCUGUAUUUGAAUCCAUAAUCCCAGUUCAGCUAUAAGAGGAUGGUAUUUACCUUUGUGCCUCUGGAACAAAUCCAUUACUCUUUUGGCCUCUAGUCAAGUUUGUCUUAUCACCUGAUGCUGUCUUAUUCCAAUUUUGUGAUACUUAAAAUAUUUUUAUGACUAUCAAGGAUGGUGGAUUGUAGACUUGAGAUUCUGGAGCUAGAACUGGGCCCGGAUGAUGCUUGUCUGUACAGUAGUUUCUGAUAUUUCCUGUAAGAAUUAAUUAUGCCUUCCCAUGGUUCCCCAUUGUAUCUGAAUGCAGCUCUCUUAAUGCACAGUUAUACAAUAUAGUUUGUUGUUUGAAAUCUGUUGUGGACUGAAUCGUGUCCACACACCCCCACCCAAUUCAUGUUGAAGCCCUAACCCCUGGUACGUACCUCAGUAUGACUGUAUUUGAAGAUAGGGUCUUUAGAGAUGAUUGAGUUAAAAUGAGGUCAUUAGGAUGGGACAUAAUUCAGUCCAACUGGAGUCCUGACAAGAAGAAGAGAUUUGGGCAAAGAGACACCAGAGAUAUAUGUGCACAGAGGAAAGAUCAUGUGAGGGUAUAGCAAGAGGGUGGCCAUCUGUGAGCAAGAAGAAAGGCCUCAGAAGAAACUAAACUUGUUGAUGUCUUGAUCUUGGACUUCUGGUCUCCAGAACCGUGAGGAAAUAAAUUUCUGUUGUUUCAGCCACCCAUUCUGUGCCAUUUUGUUAUGGUUGCCCUAGCAAACUAAAAAUCUUUCUCCGACACCAGACUCUGAACCAGUGGCUCAGUAGUCAUUCAGCUACAUACAGCUGACAGAUGGUAGGCACUUGGUAAAUGUUUGUUAAUGAGUGAAUGAACAAGUUGUCUAGAGAGGCCCCUCAGAGAUCAUCUGGUUCAAUCCAGGUCUCUUUCCCAGACUUGUGCCCUUUCUGCCACACAGAUGGAAGGUGUUGCAUCAUUUCCCCAAGUGCUAGUUUUCAAAUGUUCUCAUGUUCUGUUUUGAGUGCCGUUAAAAUAAUUUAAACAAGCAAACAUAGCCCCUGCCAUCUAAACUUUUCUAAUAUUUUACUCUCAUGUGACCUUUACUUGUAGUUGCAGAGGAAAGCCACAGAAUAUUAGAGUCAGAAGGAAUUUUAGAGAUUAUUUAGUUGGAUCCCUUUAUUGAGAAGUUUUUCUACCCUAAAUGUAAUAUACCUAUUUUAGAGAUGAUUUGGAAGGUACAAAUAAAGAAAUCUUUACUUUUAUCAUCUGAGUGUAUUUUGGUGUGUUUCCUACAUAUGAUUUUCUUUAUACAGUGAUAACCAUAGUAUGUGAACACUUUUUUUUUUUUUUGGUUCAUCUUAUAAGCAUGUUGCUAUGUCAUCUCCAUAAUGGACAUUUUUAUUCACUUUUUAAAAAAGUAGUCUCUACACCCAACAUGGGGCUCGAACUCGUGACCCCGAGAUCAGGAGUCACAUGCUCCACUGAUUGAGCCAUCCAGGCACCCCCAUAACAGACAUUAAAAAAUUUUUUUUAAUGUUUAUUUAUUUUUGAGAGAGAGAGAGAGAGAGUGAGAGCAGGGGAGGAACAGAGAGAGGGAGACACAGAAUCCGAAGCAGGUUCCAGGCUCCCAGCUGUCACCACAGAGCCCAAUGCGGGGCUCGAACCCAUGAACUGUGAGAUCAUGACCUGAGCCAAAGUCGGAUGCUUAACCAACUGAGCCACCCAGGGGCCCCCAUAACAGACAUUUUUAAUGACUGCAUAACAUUCCCAACAAGUGUGUGUGCUCCAAAUUAUUUAACUGUUUGUCCAUUGCUGAAUAUUCAGAUUGUUUAUUUUUGGAUAUUGAUAAAUUCUUUCUGUUUGUUACUGUUUUCCAAAUGUUAGAUUAUUGUCUUGGGCAAGAUUUCCCAAAGUGGAAUUACUGGGUCAAGAGUUAAGAACAGUUUUAUGUUGCCUGAUAUUAUUACUAAGUUGCUUUUAAAAGGGUUUCAUGAAUUAACUAAAUCACUGUCUGCCUUUUUUUUUUUUUUUCAGAUGAGAAAACUGAGGUCCAGAGAGAACAAAUGGAAUGCCCAAGUUCACAUAGAGAUAUUUGACAUCUCUGGAAGUAUUUUGGUUGUUGGAUCUGUGGACGAACUAUUGGUAACCACUGGAUAGUGGCCAGGGUCCAGCAAUAAACAGGACAAUCCCCUACAACAAAGAAUUAUCUGGUCCAAAAUAAUUUCCCUCAGCUAACCUGGCAGUAUAACCCAGUGGUGUCCUUCUGAUUUGUGGUCACACCCUUGGCAAAACCAGUCUUCGAGCUACUGAGCCACAGGCAGCCAAGAUAAUCACCACUAAAUAUGCCAUCUGCUGAUAAAUCAACUUUUGAUUAAUUAAAAGCAGUUUUUCAUGACAUUAAUUAUGCCUGUUUAUUUUCUCUCUUAUUUGCACACUCCAAGAGGCCCAGGGUUUCAUUUGGUUAGUUAAUACUAGAGGUUAGUGUAGGUCACUUGUUCUCAAAGAGGAGGGAUCUUACCAGCACCUCUCCCCUUCCUCUAGGACACGCACCAUUGUCUCCAGAAAAUCUCUUUACACCAGGGCUGGAGAGUUCUCCUGGCAUCUGGUGGGUGGAGGCUGGCAUGGUGCUAAUUAUCCUAUGGUAUAUGAGAUGGCCCCCAACAGGAAAUACUAGGCCACAAUCAGGGAUGAGGAGACAGAGCCCUUCUGUGUGCCCAUCACCCAGCCUUCCCAGGAGGCUUCCCCUCACUCUGCUCUUCCCCGUCUCUCCAGACUCUGCCCCUCUAGCCAGCCCCCCUCCUCCUGCAGCUUCACUGCCAGUCCUUGUGAACCUGAACGUGCCUUUGGUUCAAGGUCAGCCCUAAUCCCUCAACUCGUCUGGCUCCUUUUUGUUAUUUUUUUUAUUGUAAUUCCAAUGCAGUUAACAUACACUGUUGUAUUAGUUUCAGGUGUACAACACAGUGAUUCAGCAGUUCCAUAUAUCACUCAGUGCUCAUCAUGAUAAGUGUACUCUCGAUCCCCUCCACCUGUUUCAUCCAUCCCCCUCCCCCCCCCCACCUCGCCUCUGGUAACCAUCAGUUUGUUCUCUAUAGUUAGGAAUCUGGGCUUUUUUGGUUUGCCUCUUUUUUCCCCUCUUUGCUUGUUUGUUUCGUUUCUUAAAUUCCACAUAUGAAUGAAAUCAUAUGGUUAUUUGUCUUUCUCUGACUGGCUUAUUUGGCUUAGCACAAUAUUCUCUAUAUCCAUCCAUGUUGUGGCAAAUGGCAUGAUUUCAUUCCUUUCUGUGACUGAUUAAUAUUUCACUGUAUACAUUGACCACAUUUUCUUUAUCCAUUCAUUUGCUGAUAGACAUUUGGAAUACUUCCACAAUUUGGCUAUCGUAAAUAAUGCUGCAAUAAACAUGGGAGUACAUACAUUCCUUCAAGUUCGCGUUUUUGUAUUCUUUGGGUAAAUACCCAGUAGUGGAAUUACUGGAUCACAUUGCAGUUCUAUUUUUAAUUUUUUGAGGAACCUCCAUGUUGUUUUCUACAGUGGCUGCACCAGUCUGCAUUCCUACCAACUGUGCAUGAGGGUUCCUUUUUCUCCACGUCCUCGCCAACACUUGUGUUGUUGACUUCAGCCAUUCUGACAGGUGUGAGGGGAUAUCACAUUGUGGUUUUUAUCUGUAUUUCCCUGAUGGUCAGUGAUGUUGAACAUCUUUUCAUGUGCCUGUUGGCCAUCUGUAUGUCGUCUUUGGAGAAAUGUGUGUUAGUGUCUGUUUGCUCUUCUUCUAGCAGGGACAGUCCACUAGAGGGCACCCACACUCUUCCUUGAGCCUGUGGGGAGCUUUUCCACUUGCGACAAAUACAAGCGUAUUUCCUGCCAGAACCCCCAGCUUUCAAAUAACUCUUUAGAUUUGCCCAGGGUGAAGCUCCUGGGACAGAUAUCUGGGUCCCAGGGAGGAAUAUUACAUUGGAGGAUUGUGGGGGGGUAUGGACUGGCGACCCAGAAGCAGUCCUAGGGCCUAAGUCUUGGGGAGGGAUGGUUCCACACCUAGCAGGCAGCUUAGGCUAGACGUGCAGGAACAAGAUGCCCCCACCCUACCUGUUGGCACUGGGGAAAAUGACUGUAAGUCCAUGACCCUGAAGGACUGGAUCACUCUUUUUUUUUUUUUUUUAAUGUUUAUUUAUUUUUGAGAGGGAGAGUGUGUGUGUAUGUGUGACAAGGGAAGGGCAGAGAGAGAGGGAGACAGAGAAUCUUAAGCAGGCUCUGUGCUUUCAGUGCAGGAGCUGAUGCAGGGCUUGAACCCACGAACCAGGAGACCAUGACCUGAGCUGAAGUCGGACACUUAAGUGACUGAGCCACCCAGGCACCCCAGGAUCACCCUUCUUAAGUGUCCUUGCCCUCCCAGUAUUAGGAUUAUACACCCAUACCCUUUGUGACCUUGCAGCUCCUCCCCCCUGGAAGAGGGGCAUGUGCCCCCAAUCCCUCAUUCAUCUUGGGCUCAGCUGUAUGCUUGCUGAGGCUAACGGUCUGUGGGAGGAGAGACCUGGGGCAGUUCAGGGCCACACCAUAGGAGGCCUGGCAUGUUGUCCUUCCUCUCUCCUGAUCAGCUACAGGAAGAGUGUCUGCUUCUGGUCCCCUUCCCGCUGGUGCAUUUAGGAAACGUGCUAAGUGUCGCAGGCCAUCUGUGGUCUGAGGUCGGAGCCGUGAGUCUGGUUCUCUGGGCCAGGGGAGCUGCCCUCCCUCAGGCCCAGCUGUCUUCAGGAGGCUCUGACCCAAGCAGGGCUCUGUCCCUGGGUGUGGCCAGGGGAGAGCCUCUGAGGAGGGUUGAAGCCCAGGGGCUUGAAGUUCGGUUGGUGAACACAGACCGCCUUGCGCCACUCCUGAUGACACUGAUGUCUGUAGCGACCGUCCAGUAACUGCGAUGCUUGCUGCAGGUUGUAGGCACCUUCAUCAGGUCGAGGAGAAGUUUUCCCUUGGUUUCCGUACCAUCCAAAUCUGAGUGGACAUGGAGCGUCAUCAA
Molecule: long non-coding RNA, 5597 nt
Organism: Panthera uncia (snow leopard)
Lineage: Eukaryota; Metazoa; Chordata; Mammalia; Carnivora; Felidae
Exons: 3
Source: RefSeq, a predicted model, not a curated record